CGACCGGCGCACGGGUGAGUAACACGUAUCCAACCUGCCGAUAACUCGGGGAUAGCCUUUCGAAAGAAAGAUUAAUAUCCGAUAGCAUAUCAAGAUCGCAUGAUCUUGAUAUUAAAGAAUUUCGGUUAUCGAUGGGGAUGCGUUCCAUUAGUUAGUUGGCGGGGUAACGGCCCACCAAGACAACGAUGGAUAGGGGUUCUGAGAGGAAGGUCCCCCACAUUGGAACUGAGACACGGUCCAAACUCCUACGGGAGGCAGCAG
This 261-nucleotide ribosomal RNA is filed under the name uncultured bacterium. RNAcentral's name for it is "partial 16S ribosomal RNA". It matches the Rfam family "Bacterial small subunit ribosomal RNA", at positions 92 to 354 of the family's 1533-position model. The record is from RNAcentral.